CCUACGGGGUGCAGCAGUGAGGAAUAUUGGUCAAUGGGCGUAAGCCUGAACCAGCCAAGUCGCGUGAGGGAUGAAGGUUCUAUGGAUCGUAAACCUCUUUUAUAAGGGAAUAAAGUGUGGGACGUGUCCUGUUUUGUAUGUACCUUAUGAAUAAGGAUCGGCUAACUCCGUGCCAGCAGCCGCGGUAAUACGGAGGAUCCGAGCGUUAUCCGGAUUUAUUGGGUUUAAAGGGUGCGUAGGCGGCCUUUUAAGUCAGCGGUGAAAGUCUGUGGCUCAACCAUAGAUUUGCCGUUGAAACUGGGAGGCUUGAGUAUGUUUGAGGCAGGCGGAAUGCGUGGGGUAGCGGUGAAAUGCUUAGAUAUCACGCAGAACCCCGAUUGCGAAGGCAGCCUGCCAAGCCAUGACUGACGCUGAUGCACGAAAGCGUGGGGAUCAAACAGGAUUAGAUACCCGGGUAGUC
RNAcentral lists this ribosomal RNA (460 nucleotides) under uncultured bacterium. RNAcentral describes it as "partial 16S ribosomal RNA". It matches the Rfam family "Bacterial small subunit ribosomal RNA", at positions 338 to 795 of the family's 1533-position model. The record is from RNAcentral.